RNAcentral lists this ribosomal RNA (439 nucleotides) under Macrothele taiwanensis. Its description in RNAcentral is "partial 16S ribosomal RNA". It matches the Rfam family "Archaeal large subunit ribosomal RNA", at positions 1903 to 2671 of the family's 2987-position model. The record is from RNAcentral. Lineage: Eukaryota; Metazoa; Arthropoda; Arachnida; Araneae; Macrothelidae.
AAACAUUUCUAAAUGAAAUCACAUUUAGUAAGACCUGCUCACUGAAUCCUAAAUAGCCGCGGUCACCCGUGCUAAGGUAGCAUAAUCACUUGCCUUUUAAUUAAAGGCUAGAAUGAAGGGUCAAACAUGCCUCUCCUUUUAUUGAGUUGAUUACUCUAAAUUCUCCUGUAAGUAAGAAGACUUACAUACUCUUGGGGGACGACAAGACCCUGUCGAACUUUACUUAAUGUUUAGCUGGGGUGGCCUCAAACCAAUUCUUUUUCCUAACUUCCUAAAUAUCCCAACCUAAGGAUCCACCAAGUUACCGUAGGGAUAACAGCAUAAUUUAUUCUAAAAGACCGCAUUUAAGAAUAAGAUUGUGACCUCGAUGUUGAAUUAAUAUUCUUCUAGGGGCAAAAUUCUAGAAAGAAAGUCUGUUCGACUUUUAAAUAAUUACGUG